RNAcentral lists this long non-coding RNA (384 nucleotides) under Homo sapiens (human). Its description in RNAcentral is "HSALNT0219611". Lineage: Eukaryota; Metazoa; Chordata; Mammalia; Primates; Hominidae. The record is from RNAcentral.
UCAUUCCUCCCCUCCAGUCCCCACAUGCCCCAGAGAUGCCAGAGAAGGUGCUGGGCACAGCGAGGGAUGCUGGCCUUGCCACCCUCAGGCAAGGAAGUUACAGAACUAUUAUAGGAACAGUGGAUCAUCUUCAGGUAUGACGAACAAAAAGCAACAGGUGUAUGGUUGCACAGGUGUCAGUGUGCUGAGGAGGUCUGAGUAAAAGAUUAGGACGCCCUGAUAAAUGUUGAGCCCCUAUCUACUUUUCUUAGAGAAGGAUUCCUAGGACAAGUAGGUACCGAAGGUGUCAGUGUUGGGGAUGGAGAGUCAUAGUGGUGAUAAGCCUGGUAAGUAACCUCACCAGGACGUGCCAAAGACAGGUCAGCGAGGGAAGGGACUGUGGAA